RNAcentral lists this transfer RNA (72 nucleotides) under Phrynosoma platyrhinos (Desert horned lizard). RNAcentral describes it as "tRNA-OTHER". Lineage: Eukaryota; Metazoa; Chordata; Lepidosauria; Squamata; Phrynosomatidae. The record is from RNAcentral.
GCCAAUGUGGCAUAGUGGUUUGAGUUUUGGACUAUGACUCUGGAGGCUAGGGUUCAAUUCCCAGCUCAGCCG